Long non-coding RNA from Erinaceus europaeus (western European hedgehog), 313 nucleotides. RefSeq lists it as uncharacterized. The record is from RefSeq and is a predicted model, not a curated record. Lineage: Eukaryota; Metazoa; Chordata; Mammalia; Eulipotyphla; Erinaceidae. The transcript is spliced from 3 exons.
ACACACGCGGCUGGGUGGCGGGUUCGAGUUGCUGUAGCUGCGAGUCCGUCCGUGCAGAGUCGGUUGCACCGUGGCGUCAGCUAGGGUAUUGUACCUUGUAUUCACUACAGUAUCUUCCAUCUAGGGCCCAUACUGUCCAGUGAAGAGGCUGUGCUGCUAGAUUUAAACAGAGUCUGAAGCUAUUGCUGUGAUUGAUCUUCCAUUAUCUGGCCUGAAAGACAUUCAGGGAAAGAGGAAGAGAUGGCAGAUUCUUGGAAAAAAUACAAGAACCUUCCACCAAAGAGCAGCAUAACUUGCACAGGAAUUAUCAAAG